RNAcentral lists this ribosomal RNA (541 nucleotides) under uncultured eukaryote. RNAcentral describes it as "SSU rRNA". It matches the Rfam family "Eukaryotic small subunit ribosomal RNA", at positions 202 to 746 of the family's 1831-position model. The record is from RNAcentral.
UGUAUUUAUUAGAUUAAAAACCAAUGCCCUUCGGGGCUCCUUGGUGAUUCAUAAUAACUUAACGAAUCGCAUGGCCUUGUGCCGGCGAUGGUUCAUUCAAAUUUCUGCCCUAUCAACUUUCGAUGGUAGUAUAUGGGACUACCAUGGUUUCAACGGGUAACGGGGAAUUAGGGUUCUAUUCCGGAGAGGGGGUCUGAGAAACGGCUACCACAUCCAAGGAAGGCAGCAGGCGCGCAAAUUACCCAAUCCCGACACGGGGAGGUAGUGACAAUAAAUACUGAUACAGGGCUCUUUUGGGUCUUGUAAUUGGAAUGAGUACAAUUUAAAUCCCUUAACGAGGAACAAUUGGAGGGCAAGUCUGGUGCCAGCAGCCGCGGUAAUACCAGCUCCAAUAGCGUAUAUUAAAGUUGUUGCAGUUAAAAAGCUCGUAGUUGAACCUUGGGCCUGGCUGGCCGGUCCGCCUCACCGCGUGCACUGGUCCGGCCGGGUCUUUCCUCCUGGGGAGCCGCAUGCCCUUCACUGGGUGUGUCGGGGAACCAGG